GUGAGUAACACGUGAGCAAUCUGCCCCUGACUCUGGGAUAACAGUUGGAAACAGCUGCUAAUACCGGAUACGAGACGUGACCGCAUGGUCGACGUUUGGAAAGAAUUUCGGUCAGGGAUGAGCUCGCGGCCUAUCAGCUUGUUGGUGAGGUAAUGGCUCACCAAGGCGUCGACGGGUAGCCGGCCUGAGAGGGUGACCGGCCACACUGGGACUGAGACACGGCCCAGACUCCUACGGGAGGCAGCAGUGGGGAAUAUUGCACAAUGGGCGAAAGCCUGAUGCAGCAACGCCGCGUGAGGGACGACGGCCUUCGGGUUGUAAACCUCUUUUAGCAGGGAAGAAGCGAAAGUGACGGUACCUGCAGAAAAAGCGCCGGCUAACUACGUGCCAGCAGCCGCGGUAAUACGUAGGGCGCAAGCGUUAUCCGGAAUUAUUGGGCGUAAAGAGCUCGUAGGCGGUUUGUCGCGUCUGCUGUGAAAACUGGAGGCUCAACCUCCAGCCUGCAGUGGGUACGGGCAGACUAGAGUGCGGUAGGGGAGAUUGGAAUUCCUGGUGUAGCGGUGGAAUGCGCAGAUAUCAGGAGGAACACCGAUGGCGAAGGCAGAUCUCUGGGCCGUAACUGACGCUGAGGAGCGAAAGGGUGGGGAGCAAACAGGCUUAGAUACCCUGGUAGUCCACCCCGUAAACGUUGGGAACUAGU
This 700-nucleotide ribosomal RNA is filed under the name Microbacterium sp. RNAcentral describes it as "bacterial SSU rRNA". It matches the Rfam family "Bacterial small subunit ribosomal RNA", at positions 106 to 820 of the family's 1533-position model. The record is from RNAcentral. Lineage: Bacteria; Bacillati; Actinomycetota; Actinomycetes; Micrococcales; Microbacteriaceae.